RNAcentral lists this ribosomal RNA (378 nucleotides) under Triticum aestivum (bread wheat). RNAcentral describes it as "partial small subunit ribosomal RNA". The record is from RNAcentral. Lineage: Eukaryota; Viridiplantae; Streptophyta; Magnoliopsida; Poales; Poaceae.
AUGUUAUAUGAGAAGGUAAAACAUGUGCAUAAGGUCUUGAGGUGUCCAUGGCGUCCAUCUCGCAUGUGUACGUACUUACGUGUUCUUCCAGGGUCUAAACUGCCAGUAAGUAAUACUAUUGCAAAGUGCAAACAGCUGCAUGUACAUGUUGACAGGCUUUCUUUCAGCCAACAGGCAGUUCUUCUCUUCAGAGCUCUACAGUUUAGAUGCAGGCAACAGUUCACCACAAAGUUCCAAGCUAGCACGGCCACACACAGCACUCAGAAACAACCAGUACAAUCCAAUCUUGUAGGCAAGUACAUGAGCAGGUUAGUUAGGAGUCUCUUUUUACUGCAAGGACAUGUCGGCAUCAGGCUGAAACUGAAGGAGAUCUCCUGA